UGUGCAUUAGCCGGAAGUCUCACACACCCAACGUAUUGAGUGAAAAAAAAAAAAAAAAAAAUUUCUGUGAAGUGUGCUGCGGCUUCCGGCUGAUGCGCAGCAAACAAACUCUCCUGCACGGCCAUCAAGGGCGAAUCUUCUCCCGUCGGGCUCUAUCAGUUCCUUCCGGAGAUUGAAGCAUCUGGUUCUUCAUUGCUAAAACGUGAUCCCAUCACUAUUUCUGGUGAGAUAAAUGCUUAUGAUGGUGGAAGCAAUCUAUCACCUCUCUUGCAUAAAUAUGAGACGAGCAUUGAAGGGUCAAGAGCCCCUGCUUCAGAAGUCAGUGGCAAAGUAGUGAAAUUACCUACGGUCUCACCAAUAGAUCAAAGUUCACCCGCUUCUACUUUGGGGUUGGAACUUAAUUUAGAGCAACACACACAACGAUGUAGACUUUUCACUUUAAAUCAAAUAAAUUCUGCCAUUGCAGCAACAGACUACCCCGCCUUUGUUGUUCUGCAACCAUAGCUAUUUUAGUUGUGUUAUCAUAUCUAGGAUUUCCUUUACUGGGCAGCUACAUCAUAAAGAGCAUUAUAAGCUUUAGGCCGCUCUUAUCUAGUUUUGCUCACCAAAUCAACAAUUGUGCUUACACGACUAACUUUUGAGAAACAAAGAGAUUUUGAAAGGGCUGCCAGAGAUGAAAGUGAAACUCCACUAAAUGGAUACGGUUGGGCUGAACAAUUAAGUAAGAGUUUUGAGAUGGGUCUGGUAAUGCAGAAGACAUUUGAUGCUGUGUUCGUGGAUUGCAGUGUGUAUGUGAUUAUUGUCAUAUGUGGCCUCUCCCUUUCACAGCUAUUCACCUAAUCAGCUGAUAAUAUUUUUGUUUGUUUACUUGCAUGUAUGUUGAUUUAUAUAAUUUUAUGAAUUGGCCCUCUUCAAAAUCGGCUAACCUUCCCAUCCAUUGAAAAAUUGCUCUUUACUCUUUAGUGCACUUGUUUCACUUUA
Juglans regia (Persian walnut) is the source of this 981-nucleotide long non-coding RNA. RefSeq lists it as uncharacterized. The transcript has 2 exons. NCBI's taxonomy places the organism in Eukaryota, Viridiplantae, Streptophyta, Magnoliopsida, Fagales, Juglandaceae. The record is from RefSeq and is a predicted model, not a curated record.